This 437-nucleotide ribosomal RNA is filed under the name uncultured bacterium. RNAcentral describes it as "bacterial SSU rRNA". It matches the Rfam family "Bacterial small subunit ribosomal RNA", at positions 28 to 346 of the family's 1533-position model. The record is from RNAcentral.
GAUGAACGCUGGCGGCGUGCUUAACACAUGCAAGUCGAGCGGGCAAUUUAUCUAGCACUGAUUACUUCAAAUGGCUAUCGCCAGUGUAAUCAUGAAUUUCUACCUUAUAAUAAAGAAAAAAGAAAUUCAUGUACGCAAAUAGUGAUAACACAUGAAAGUGGAGUGAUGAGUGCUGGAUAAAUUGCUAGCGGCGGACGGGUGCGUAACACGUGGGUAACCUGCCCCUAUCACUGGGAUAACACACUGAAAAGUGUGCUAAUACCAGAUAAUAUAAGCUUUUGGCAUCAUUAGCUUAUCAAAGAAUUUCGGAUAGGGAUGGGCCCGCGUCUGAUUAGCUAGUUGGUGAGGUAACGGCUCACCAAGGCAACGAUCAGUAGCCGACCUGAGAGGGUGAUCGGCCACACUGGAACUGAGACACGGUCCAGACUCCUACGGGA